Molecule: ribosomal RNA, 492 nt
Filed under: uncultured bacterium
Lineage: Bacteria
Description: bacterial SSU rRNA
Rfam family: Bacterial small subunit ribosomal RNA
Source: RNAcentral
UUAUGGCUCAGGAUGAACGCUGGCGGCGUAGCCUAACACAUUCAAGGUCGAACGGGACUUAUCCGGUAGCAAUACCGGAUAAGUUAGUGGCGGACGGGUGAGUAACGCGUGAGCAAUCUGCCUCCGGUUAGCGGGACAACACAGGGAAACUUGUGCUAAUACCGCAUAAACCGGCAGCACCGCAUGGUGCAACCGGCAAAGAAUCUCGACCGGAGAUGAGCUCGCGUCCGAUUAGAUAGUUGGCGGGGCAACGGCCCACCAAGUCUGCGAUCGGUAGCCGGACUGAGAGGUUGAACGGCCACAUUGGAACUGAGAUACGGUCCAGACUCCUACGGGAGGCAGCAGUGGGGAAUAUUGGGCAAUGGGCGAAAGCCUGACCCAAGCGACGCCGCGUGAAGGAAGAAGGUCUUCGGAUUGUAAACUUCAGUCAACAGGGAAGAUCAUGACGGUACCUGUGGAGGAAGCCACGGCUAACUACGUGCCAGCAGCUGC